This 223-nucleotide long non-coding RNA is filed under the name Gallus gallus (chicken). Lineage: Eukaryota; Metazoa; Chordata; Aves; Galliformes; Phasianidae. The record is from RNAcentral.
CUGUAGUUGUCUUAAUAGAGCUAUUUUUCAGACGAUGUCCUUCAUCACAGAUCAGGAGGUUAAAUUCUAUAGCCUGAAUUUGAUCCAGAGAUCGUAGUAGCAUCUCAUAGCUGAUUAUCAUAACUGAAUAAAGUGGAGAACUGAUGAAUUCUUCUACUUUGUGGUCCUGAUCAACUGUAAAGACUUUGAUCCUUUCGCUUCCCAACCAUUUCUGAAAUUCUUU